GGUCAGGGCGCGCAUGCGCAGUGGGUUGGCCGCGCGCGUUCUCGCUCCGCGGUGCCCGGGGGUCCGCGGGCGUCGGGUCCCUGGCCAGUGUCGCAGGUCGCGCUGGCGAGGGGUGCUGAGUCUGCGCAGAGGGGGCGCUCCGGACCUCGGCCGUGAGUCCAGAAUUGCGAGUUCCGAGGAAGUGCCUCCGGAGAAGUCCUCAAUCCUGGGAAUUUCCGUGGAGCGGAGUGACAGAGGUGCCUUGAGCAUAUUCAUGAGGUGACAUUGGAAAGCACUCAGGGAUGGGCCGAGGGAGCUGGCCAAGUCCUGGACGGUGGGAACUGCCGGUCCCCCCGCCCCCCUGACCUCUGGACCAGGGAGAGGAGCUAGUGGUUGAGUCAAACACCAAGGCCUGUGAUUUAGUCCAUCCCGCCUGUAUCAAGGAGCCGGCAUAAGCCCCCGAAGCACGGAGUUCUGAGAGCUUCCAGGUCGGUGAGCAUGCGGGCGUGGGACAGCCCCGCGCAUCCUGUCUCCGUGCCUGGUCCCGAGCGUCCCUUACAUCUGGCUGUUCUCGAGUUCUGUGCUUUUAUCAUAAACCAGUAAUGUAGUGAGUAAAAUGUCUCUCUGAA
Molecule: long non-coding RNA, 608 nt
Organism: Suricata suricatta (meerkat)
Lineage: Eukaryota; Metazoa; Chordata; Mammalia; Carnivora; Herpestidae
Exons: 2
Source: RefSeq, a predicted model, not a curated record